ACAUUUUUGGUUAAAUUUUUUUUUAAUAUAAGUCGUCGCUUUGAUCUUUACGAGUGUUUCAGACUAUGAGUCUGGGUCAAGUAUAGUUUCGUGUAUAGUUAGAAGCGUUUAUCAACCGUUUGUCUUAAAAUGAUGUCUUGGCAUGAUUCAAUUAGUUUUGUUGGAGGUGUUUUUUGCCCACUCCGUAAGCGUGAGUCCAAUGCCUGAAAGGCACCAUCUCAUCUUCUGAGCUUCUUGCCGAGUUGAAGCACAGGCAGCCACAAUAUGCUGCUUCCAAAAUUCGCUCGAAAACUUGGAGAGGGUCGGCAAUUUACUUAUAUUCGGCGCCACCGGUGGAGAUUCCUUUCUUUGGGAUCAAAACAUUCAAAUGCUUACACUGUUCCGGAUAAAACAAAAGAACUAUCAUGACACGCCUGUCGUGGAACGGAUUAACGUAACGCUUCCAGUAUUUAAGUAUUUGUUAGCAGUAUCAGUAAUUGUAUCGAUGUAUGUAUGUUAAUGGUCAUAUGAAAGCUGAAUUGAGAGCCAAAGCUCCCGCUUUGAUUUAUUCCGAUCGGAGAGAUCAAAGAGAUUGGAGGAAGCAAAACUGCGAAUAAUACACCCGGCUUAAGGUCCACGCUUAUGCUCGUUAAAGUCAACUUCCAGGGAAUCUCUUUUCGCACUCCUGUCUAUUUCGCACUCCUGUAUGGUGCAAUGCCGACUUCACAAAGGCGACCACCUCGACCACAUCAGCCGGCACACCGACGAAUGUACAGGGUGUAUCUGGCGGGGAGUUUCAGCAGCCACGGACUCCAUAGCCAAGUGGAGAUGGAUCAUGCCACGUCAUGAAUGCCACGUCAUCCAAGUUUGCGGAUCUAAAUCCACGGAUCGCUACAUUGGCCCACGCUUAUGCUCUAUUUUCUAUUCUACGCUACAAGAUUGGGUUGUUCUUGUUUCGGUUAAAGUUAACUCCCAAGGAAUCUCUAUCGGUAGGCGUCAAAGUUCAAGGGCCUUGUUCUGCUUUUGCCGUUUGAUGUAAGCAAAUUUCUUAGCUUUUUUUUAUCAACCCUACUCGACCAAGUUACAUCUGAUCGAAGUAGGGAAUGUUUUGAAGUGGCUACCGCCACUAACCAUACAACAUGUAGACUGGUCAUUUCAUACAACGAAAAUGGUCAUAAAAGUUUCGAAGCGGGAGGCACCACAACUGGUAGCGGCAGGCCCCGGUUUUUUUCGCUCUCAUUCUUGUUCUCAUUUUGACGCGCGAGCGCUCAUUACUCGAGUUCGGUCGUUCAGUCGCAGAGACGCGCAUUUUGAAGAAGGUUGCCCUG
This is a long non-coding RNA of Drosophila rhopaloa, 1307 nucleotides long. RefSeq lists it as uncharacterized. Lineage: Eukaryota; Metazoa; Arthropoda; Insecta; Diptera; Drosophilidae. The record is from RefSeq and is a predicted model, not a curated record. The transcript has 3 exons.